RNAcentral lists this ribosomal RNA (412 nucleotides) under uncultured bacterium. RNAcentral's name for it is "bacterial SSU rRNA". It matches the Rfam family "Bacterial small subunit ribosomal RNA", at positions 28 to 427 of the family's 1533-position model. The record is from RNAcentral.
AACGAACGCUGGCGGCGUGCCUAACACAUGCAAGUCGAACGUGAAAGGGGGCAACCCCCGGUAGCGUGGCAGACGGGUGAGUAACACGUGGGUAACCUACCCGGAGGUGGGGGAGUAACCUUCGAAGGAGGGCUAAUACCGCAUGACACCGCGGGGACCUCGGUCCCUGCGAUCAAAGCUGGCCUCUGUUUACAAGCUAGCGCCACCGGAUGGGCCCGCGCCCAUUAGCUAGUUGGUGAGGUAACGGCUCACCAAGGCGACGAUGGGUAGCCGGCCUGAGAGGGGCGAUCGGCCACACUGGGAACUGCGACACGGUCCAGACUCCUACGGGAGGCAGCAGUGAGGAUAUUGCGCAAUGGGCGAAAGCCUGACGCAGCGACGCCGCGUGGAGGAUGAAGGUCUUCGGAUUGGU